GACGAACGCUGGCGGCGUGCCUAAUACAUGCAAGUCGAGCGAAGUUUUUCUGGUGCUUGCACUAGAAAAACUUAGCGGCGAACGGGUGAGUAACACGUAAAGAACCUGCCUCAUAGACUGGGACAACUAUUGGAAACGAUAGCUAAUACCGGAUAACAGCAUUAACUGCAUGGUUGAUGUUUAAAAGUUGGUUUUGCUAACACUAUGAGAUGGCUUUGCGGUGCAUUAGCUAGUUGGUGGGGUAAAGGCCUACCAAGGCGACGAUGCAUAGCCGACCUGAGAGGGUGAUCGGCCACACUGGGACUGAGACACGGCCCAGACUCCUACGGGAGGCAGCAGUAGGGAAUCUUCCGCAAUGGGCGAAAGCCUGACGGAGCAGCGCCGCGUGAGUGAAGAAGGAUUUCGGUUCGUAAAGCUCUGUUGUUAGGGAAGAAUGAUUGUGUAGUAACUAUACACAGUAGAGACGGUACCUAACCAGAAAGCCACGGCUAACUACGUG
RNAcentral lists this ribosomal RNA (499 nucleotides) under uncultured bacterium. Its description in RNAcentral is "partial 16S ribosomal RNA". It matches the Rfam family "Bacterial small subunit ribosomal RNA", at positions 28 to 507 of the family's 1533-position model. The record is from RNAcentral.